Molecule: long non-coding RNA, 1241 nt
Organism: Anneissia japonica
Lineage: Eukaryota; Metazoa; Echinodermata; Crinoidea; Comatulida; Comatulidae
Exons: 4
Source: RefSeq, a predicted model, not a curated record
ACUCCCCCGCUGGCGCCACCACUGCACUGGAAACAAGGAACCACUUUACUACGUCACGCUGCUGCCAUUAUACUCUUGGGUUGCUCAACAGAUAGCCAACUUUUAUUGGGCCUGAUCAUGAGUCUAAUCUUCACCCAAUAUGAAUGAGUAGACGAGGACACCCCGCCCCUUUAGAACUGUUCCGACUUCAAUUUUAAUGACGUGACGUCAGAGGAGUAACGCGUUUCAGUGGACAAUAGUUCCUGCUGCUAUCGUGUGGCCGCAGAAAACACUGACAGGCUGUCAUUUUCGACUUUUCUAGUUUUUUUUUGGUCUUCCAAUAUUUCUAAAUAAAAUGAGCCAUACACAGACGAGCCCGUACCAGUCCAUAGUGUGGAUGAGGAUGAAAAAUUCCAGAGAGUUGUUGAAGAACAGCAAAACCACCUAAUUAAUAUGGAUUUGCGCAAAUGUCAGAAUUGUACACAGAUGGCAUCGUAUGAAGAGUGUCUAUGCUGCUCGGAGGUUAUUGCAAUUGCAGGGACUUUUGAAAGAGACCAAGAGGUGACAGGACCUCUUAGUGUAUCACAGAUCACCCAGGAUUCGAACCAAUAUGCCUGAAUGUUUGGUCUGUGUAGCUUGCAAUUGGGAGGGGAAAGAAGAAUCGUAACAAGUCAAUUAAUGAGAAAUACAGACACGCAAGUUACAGAAACUUUGUUAGAUGGACUCAUGGCUACAUGGGAAAAGGCAACCGUACUGUGCUUCCAGCCUGCGUUGUCAAAACUAUUAGACAUCACUUUCAAUCGCAAUCAUAUACUGGGUUCAAAUAUCCCAUUGUUUAAAAAUACAGUUAAACUUUCCAAAGUCGAAUCCAAAAUGCCAUUGAAAUAUUGUUCGACUAAAAUUUGACUUGUAGAUUGUUAAUUAAUGAAAAACACAACAAUUUGGCAUGUAAAAUAAGAUCGACUUAGAAAUUAUUCGACUUAAAAAUUAUUUGAACUAGGCACAGUCGACUUUAGGCAACUGUACCCGUACACCUACAUAUGCAUAAGAGCAUGGUGUUAAUAAAUUGUUCAUUAUUGUAUAUUAAAUCCGGUUUUGUGUUAUUGCGUCUGCCUUGUUGGGGUUGUAAAAUGGACGUUUUACUGUAUUUGCCUAAUUUUUGACAGUAAACCGAGUCUUGUGACUUUCAAUUGCUUCUGCCUUGUCCGGGUGAUGGAAAGUGCUGCACAAUGAUGGUGGUACUUGCAUCUCCACUGGUUUGG